Lutzomyia longipalpis is the source of this 742-nucleotide long non-coding RNA. RefSeq lists it as uncharacterized. The transcript is spliced from 2 exons. NCBI's taxonomy places the organism in Eukaryota, Metazoa, Arthropoda, Insecta, Diptera, Psychodidae. The record is from RefSeq and is a predicted model, not a curated record.
CUUAAAGAACAUUCAGGAGCUUAUUCUCACAAAAAUAUUUUCUUUUCUAUCUAUUUCGUCUUACAAGGGAUUUUGUAAGAUUUGGUAUUCCAGCAAAAAAAAUCUUUUAUAGCACCUUUUUAGAACAUUCCCCUCAAAACACCAAAACGUAACUAGAUGUCGCUAUUUGUGACGUUUGACAUUGAGAAAAUAAAUAAAAUUAAUUCGGAUCGAACUUUAUUACAGGAAAUUUAUUGAAAAGGGACGUUUAUUUUCUAUUUAUUUCGGCUUGCAAGGGAUUUUGUAAGGUUUGCUGUUCCAGCAAAAAUUUCUUUUUCAUUAUUUUAUAGUAACAGACCUCCGAAACUGGAAGUCGAAAACAGAUGUCGCUGUUAACGUUGAAAAACGAAGUGAAACUGAAAAUGCCGAAAAUAGACGAAGUGAAAAAAGUUAAUGUAAACAAAUAAAAUGAGGUUAAAGUUAAGUGAAUUUAUCAACAAAACACAAUGGAUUAUUCGGGAUUUUUGAUUGUGAUGGGCAAAAUUGAAUCAUCCGGAACUUUUGGACAUUCUGUAGCAUCCACAAAUUCCGGGAAGAGAUACCCGGACAAGUCCCAGGCAGCAUGAAAUGUUUAUUUAAUAAGCAGAAUCCCAUCCUGGGAUGCUGGAAGCAUUUGUGAAAGAACAGAGCUUUACAGAAUGGCCAUAAAGGCAUGAAGUCGGGAAUCUAAUAUUCUUAAAUAAAAAGGCUUUUCGUACUCUAA